RNAcentral lists this ribosomal RNA (492 nucleotides) under uncultured bacterium. RNAcentral describes it as "partial 16S ribosomal RNA". It matches the Rfam family "Bacterial small subunit ribosomal RNA", at positions 29 to 507 of the family's 1533-position model. The record is from RNAcentral.
AGUGAACGCUGGCGGUAGGCCUAACACAUGCAAGUCGAACGGCAGCACAGUAAGAGCUUGCUCUUACGGGUGGCGAGUGGCGGACGGGUGAGGAAUACAUCGGAAUCUACUUUUUCGUGGGGGAUAACGUAGGGAAACUUACGCUAAUACCGCAUACGACCUACGGGUGAAAGCAGUGGAUCUUCGGACCUUGCGCGAUUGAAUGAGCCGAUGUCGGAGUAGCUAGUUGGCGGGGUAAAGGCCCACCAAGGCGACGAUCCGUAGCUGGUCUGAGAGGAUGAUCAGCCACACUGGAACUGAGACACGGACCAGACUCCUACGGGAGGCAGCAGUGGGGAAUAUUGGACAAUGGGCGCAAGCCUGAUCCAGCCAUACCGCGUGGGUGAAGAAGGCCUUCGGGUUGUAAAGCCCUUUUGUUGGGAAAGAAAAGCAGCAGGUUAAUACCCCGCUGUUCUGACGGUACCCAAAGAAUAAGCACCGGCUAACUUCGUG